RNAcentral lists this long non-coding RNA (892 nucleotides) under Homo sapiens (human). RNAcentral describes it as "HSALNT0248355". Lineage: Eukaryota; Metazoa; Chordata; Mammalia; Primates; Hominidae. The record is from RNAcentral.
GUGCAGCUGCAGUCACAAAGCUGCAGCUGCGGACCCAGGGCAUCCCUGUGCUCUCAGGGUCCUAGCGAAGUCCCCUGCCCCUGCAGGCUCAGAAGUGCCUGCUCCUGCUACCUGGCUUCUCCCCGCUCCUGCUGCCUGCUCCAAUUUUGGAGCAAAGCUGAGGCUGAGCCUGGGCACUGUCACAAUUUGGCCAGGUGUGUCACAAUUUGGCCAGGUGUGUCACAAUUUGGGGCAGCGCUGAUAUGCCAGCCCCCUGCCACCUCAGCCCCCUCCGGACUUUGGGUGCUGACGAGCAUCAGUGGGAGGCUGAGGCAGGGGUGGGCUGAGGGUGGGUUGGUGUGGGCCUGCAGGUGCCCCUUGACACCAACAGCCUGGGCACCGUGUACAUGACUGAUGGCAGCAGGAGGCAGACAGGCUCCUGGGCAAAAAGGGGCAGGUCCCUGCUGAAGCCCCACCUUCAAGCCAGGAAUGGCCUAAAGCAUGGGGGCCAAGCUGUCAGUUCUGAGUGGAGUCCACAGACCAGAGUAAGAACUUAGGAUGCUUUUUCUGGGCCUGCCUGUGGCCGUCCAUGGACCAAUCAGCAUGCACUUCCUCCCUUUUGAGCUCAUUAAAAAUCCUGGAUUCAGUUUGACUUGAACAGACAUCGGAUCAACCUGCCUGUGGAUAGGAGCUACUCACUGCAGGUCUCCUCUCCACUGACGGCUAGACACUUAUUGGCAUGACCUGCCUGAGGAAAGGAGCUACCCAUUGACAGACAGACAUUGGGAUGACCUGUCUGGGGAAAGGAGCUACCCUCUAUGGGUCUCCUCUCUGCUCUGAGCUGGACAGACGUCAGGAUGACCUGCCUACAGAAAGGAGCUACCCAUUGACAGACAGACAUUGGGAUGACCUG